This 2055-nucleotide long non-coding RNA is filed under the name Nothobranchius furzeri (turquoise killifish). RNAcentral describes it as "lncRNA (ENSNFUG00015021775.1)". The record is from RNAcentral. Lineage: Eukaryota; Metazoa; Chordata; Actinopteri; Cyprinodontiformes; Nothobranchiidae.
GUCAUCUACUAGUUGAAAAGAGAUCAAGCAGCUUGUGGUAAGAUGUUAAUGGAUCUCUCACAAAACUGAGAAUGCAUUUCUUACAUUUUUAUUUUGAAAAAUGACUCCAACUAAGUUUCUGAUGAGUCCCACAAUUGUUUUAUCAGUACAGAGCUUCAUGGUCAGAUAAGUAUUAUGUUGUCAUUGUAAGAAGCAGAUUAAUCAGCAAAGGACCGAACACACAUCCAUGAGGGACACCAGUGCUCAAUCGAGUAAAAAUAUACACUUUCUGUUAAAAUGUACAUUUGUUUAAAUGUACAUUUUAUAAUUUUGAGAAUCUAUUUGAGGCAAUGAAAACAAUAAACAGUAUUUAAAUUGCUGUUUUAACCUUUUUACUUGCUUUUACUGAUCCAAGAAAUAAAUCAUCAGAGACUUCACUAAAAAGCUAAGAUCACAAAGCAUUUUGUGAUAUAAAUGGCUAAACGUAAAGAAUUUAUGCUGCAUAAUAGUAAUAUAAUCAGGUUAGAACACAAAAUCUUGCAAUUAUAUACAUUUAUGAUGGCUCAGACAAAAUACCUGAAACUUGAUAACAGUGGUGCAAUGACAGAACAUUUUCAGCUGUUGGGAGCUCGUGCAAACUCGUGAAGUAUUUUUUUUUGUCUCUGUGAAUGUGCUGAAAGAAAGAAUUUAAAGCAAAACACAUAUGAAGACAUGUCAGACGUGAUUCUGGGGUGUUACUCCCUGUCUUUCUGUGUCCAACAAUGAUAUUCGGACUAGUCAACCCCGUCUGUUUCCGUGAUGGUGAAAAUGUCCAUUCCUCAUUAUUUUCUAUGCUAGCCGCGAGCGCAGCUAUACUGCUGAGCUCAGCAGAAAUGAUGUGCAUGUGUCUGUGAGAAAGAGUGUGUGUGUGUUAGUGUGUGUGUGUGUGUGUGGGCUGUGGGGACAUGUGGAGACUGGAGGCUCAUUAGCAUAAUAAUAGACUCGGAUGCGUGUGGACAGGCAGGCGGUGUGCGAGCAUGUGUUUGUGUGCAGUCUGUGUGCGUCUAAUCUUGGACGGGGUUGUUCUGAAACUAUCAUCUCGCUGUUCAAUGACAAUAAAAGCUUCUUGGUUCUUGAUUGCAUUAAUUACUCUAAAAAUAACUUUGAUCAGAUAGUCCCGUCAUGUUUGGUGUGCUAAGAGCGCUCUGGUCUGCUCAAAAGGAUGUCACGACCACUCUAAUCAUAAAUUGAGGAUAUUCAACAUAUUGAAUUUCUUGGUCUGAUUUCACGAACAAACGGGUGUGCUGCCUGUCGAAUGGCACAUGAAGCCAAUCCAAGAGGAGAAACACACCUGCUGCUACUGUUUCUGAGCAAAUAAUCCAGUUUUUCUGUGGCUCUCUAACCCCACAACCAUGUGGGAUUAAGUUUAUUUUUGUGACAAAGAGAGAAUGAUUCCAAUUCACUACUCAGCAGCUCAAGGGAUAUCUUUUCAGGCUGGCUUUUUGUGAACUCCAGUUGAUUCACCGCUUGCUCAUUAGUUUCUCCUCUGGCUUGUGUUUCUGUCAUUAUUGUAUAUUUCAGUCUCUUAUUAUUAUUUUUUUGCUUUGUUUUGUUUUUCAAUUAUUAAUUUAUUGUUUCGUUGAAAGGCGGUAUACAAAUACACUUUUACUCUUCUUUAACUAAUAUUUGUAUCAUUCUCAAAAGCUUUGGCCAUGGCAACAGAAGAGCAGUUUAACACUGAAAGGAAAGUCUGACCUCAAUUUCAGAACAUGGUAAAGACGUGUUAUAUGAGCAUAUUUUCAAUGAUAUUGUCCAUCUCCUAUUUUAAAAAGCUCAUAGCCAGAAGCUGUAUGGCUCAGACUGAACUGAUGCUUUAUAGUUCUCAACACAGCUAGAUGAGCCAUUCAUAGCAGUGGUCCAUCCAUCCACCCAUUCAUCCAUCUAUUCAUCAAAUUUCCUCUUCUUAGAAGAACAGCUGAGAAACAUAGUCCCAUCCGUGUACCCUGGGUCUUCACUUGGGUCUCCUCCUGGCUAGAUGUGCCUGGAGUACCUCACAAGGGAGGUGUCCAGGAGGCAUCCUAACCAGAUGCCUGAGCC